Molecule: ribosomal RNA, 384 nt
Filed under: uncultured bacterium
Lineage: Bacteria
Description: bacterial SSU rRNA
Rfam family: Bacterial small subunit ribosomal RNA
Source: RNAcentral
AUUGAACGCUGGCGGCAGGCCUAACACAUGCAAGUCGAGCGGCAGCGCGGGGGCAACCCUGGCGGCGAGCGGCGAACGGGUGAGUAAUACAUGGGAAUCUGCCUGGUAGUGGGGGAUAACUCUGGGAAACUAGAGGUAAUACCGCAUACGUCCUACGGGAGAAAGGGGGGGAUCUUCGGACCUCUCGCUAUCAGAGGAGCCCAUGUCCGAUUAGCUAGUUGGUGAGGUAAAGGCUCACCAAGGCGACGAUCGGUAACUGGUCUGAGAGGAUGGUCAGUCACACUGGAACUGAGACACGGUCCAGACUCCUACGGGAGGCAGCAGUGGGGAAUAUUGGACAAUGGGGGCAACCCUGAUCCAGCCAUGCCGCGUGUGUGAAGAAGG